RNAcentral lists this small RNA (29 nucleotides) under Bombyx mori (domestic silkworm). Its description in RNAcentral is "ovarian small RNA-18621". The record is from RNAcentral. Lineage: Eukaryota; Metazoa; Arthropoda; Insecta; Lepidoptera; Bombycidae.
UAACAGUACCACUUUACGGCGCUGUCCGC